UACAGAGGGGGCAAGCGUUGUUCGGAAUUACUGGGCGUAAAGGGCGCGUAGGCGGCCUGUUAAGUCGAACGUGAAAUCCCCAGGCUCAACCUGGGAACUGCGUCUGAUACUGGAUGGCUUGAGUUUGGGAGAGGGACGCGGAAUUCCAGGUGUAGCGGUGAAAUGCGCAGAUAUCAGGAGGAACACCGGUGGCGAAGGCGGAUCUCUGGGCCAUUACUGACGCUGAGGAGCGAAAGCGUGGGGAGCGAACAGG
This 253-nucleotide ribosomal RNA is filed under the name uncultured bacterium. RNAcentral's name for it is "partial 16S ribosomal RNA". It matches the Rfam family "Bacterial small subunit ribosomal RNA", at positions 524 to 776 of the family's 1533-position model. The record is from RNAcentral.